GACGAACGCUGGCGGCGUGCUUAACACAUGCAAGUCGAACGGAAAGGCCCUGCUUUUGUGGGGUGCUCGAGUGGCGGACGGGUGAGUAACACGUGAGUAACCUGCCCUUGACUUUGGGAUAACUUCAGGAAACUGGGGCUAAUACCGGAUAGGAGCUCCUGCUGCAUGGUGGGGGUUGGAAAGUUUCGGCGGUUGGGGAUGGACUCGCGGCUUAUCAGCUUGUUGGUGGGGUAGUGGCUUACCAAGGCUUUGACGGGUAGCCGGCCUGAGAGGGUGACCGGCCACAUUGGGACUGAGAUACGGCCCAGACUCCUGCGGGAGGCAGCAGUGGGGAAUAUUGCACAAUGGGCGGAAGCCUGAUGCAGCAACGCCGCGUGCGGGAUGACGGCCUUCGGGUUGUAAACCGCUUUCGCCUGUGACGAAGCGUGAGUGACGGUAAUGGGUAAAGAAGCACCGGCUAACUACGUG
RNAcentral lists this ribosomal RNA (468 nucleotides) under uncultured bacterium. Its description in RNAcentral is "partial 16S ribosomal RNA". It matches the Rfam family "Bacterial small subunit ribosomal RNA", at positions 28 to 507 of the family's 1533-position model. The record is from RNAcentral.